UACUAGAGUAGCACUCGCAUAUCAAUAAGCGGAGGAAAAGAAACUAACAAGGAUUCCCCUAGUAACGGCGAGUGAAGCGGGAAGAGCUCAAAUUUGAAAUCUUAAAGGGUUUCCCUUUACGAAUUGUAGUUUAAAGAAGUGUUUUCUGUUGAGGUUUUGAUAAAAGUUCUUUGGAAUAGGACAUCAUAGAGGGUGAGAAUCCCGUAUUUGACCUUUACUUUCAACUUUGUGAUACACUUUCAAAGAGUCGGAUUGUUUGGGAAUGCAGUCCAAAAUGGGUGGUAAAUUUCAUCUAAAGCUGAAUAUUGGCGAGAGACCGAUAGCGAACAAGUACCGUGAGGGAAAGAUGAAAAGAACUUUGAAAAGAGAGUUAAACAGUACGUGAAAUUGUCAAAAGGGAAGCGUUUGACACCAGUGUUGUUUUUCUGAGAAAUCAAUUAAAGAACUGUUUAUGCUAAGCUGUUUAGACUUUAUCAGCUAUCUGUUUAGUUUUAGGCUUUUCUUUAAUGCACUUUUCAGUUAACAAGUCAACAUCAAUUUCUUUUGCUGUAAAAAAGCUUGAGGAAGGUGGCUUGAGAUUCGUCUUAAGUGUUUAUAGCCUCUUGCCUAUGCAGUCGGAGAGAUUGAGGUCUGCAGCGUAGAUCCUUCGGGGCUAAAUGCAUUUGUGCUAAGUUAUAGCAUUUUAUAGACAACUUGUUGACUAUGAUUUGUCUUGUAGCUUACUCGCUUAUGUUAUUUUACCUACGCUUAGGAUGUUGAGCGCAUGUCUCUCUCU
Molecule: ribosomal RNA, 775 nt
Filed under: uncultured Neocallimastigales
Lineage: Eukaryota; Fungi; Neocallimastigomycota; Neocallimastigomycetes; Neocallimastigales
Description: partial large subunit ribosomal RNA
Rfam family: Eukaryotic large subunit ribosomal RNA
Source: RNAcentral